GGGCGGCGUCAGAUGUGUAUAAGAGACAGGUGAGUCAUCGAAUCUUUGAACGCACAUUGCGCCCCGUGGUAUUCCGCGGGGCAUGCCUGUUCGAGCGUCAUUUCAACCCUCAAGCCCGGCUUGGUGUUGGGCCCUGCCGCUGCGGUGGGCCCUAAAGCUAGUGGCGGCGCCGCGAGGCCCUGAGCUGUAGUACCACGCUCGCUCCAGGACCGCGCGGUGGCGCGCCAGAACCCAACUCUACGGUUGACCUCGGAUCAGGUAGGGAUACCCGCUGAACUUAAGCAUAUCAAUAAGCGGAGG
RNAcentral lists this unclassified non-coding RNA (300 nucleotides) under uncultured Ascomycota. Its description in RNAcentral is "sequence contains 5.8S rRNA gene, ITS2". The stretch from base 1 to 100 matches the Rfam family "5.8S ribosomal RNA", at positions 53 to 154 of the family's 154-position model. The record is from RNAcentral. Lineage: Eukaryota; Fungi; Ascomycota.